CAAGAGCGUAUAUUAAAGUUGUUGCAGUUAAAAGCUCGUAGUUGGAUUUCUGGUACAACGCGCCUGGCCCGCUUUUGUGAGUGCCGGUGCGCGUUUGCCAUCCUUCUAGAAAACGUCUCUACUCGGGCAACUGGGCCGGAUUCGCGAUCUAGAUCUUUUACUUUGAGGAAAUUAGAGUGUUUCAAGCAGGCACACGCCUUGAAUACAUUAGCAUGGAAUAAUAAGAUAGGACCUUGGUUCUAUUUUGUUGGUUUCUAGAGCUGAGGUAAUGAUUAAUAGGGAUAGUUGGGGGCAUUCGUAUUUAACUGUCAGAGGUGAAAUUCUUGGAUUUGUUAAAGACGGACUACUGCGAAAACAUUUGCCAAGGAUGUUUUCAUUGAUCAAGAACGAAAGUUAGGGGAUCGAAGAUGAUCAGAUACCGU
Molecule: ribosomal RNA, 422 nt
Filed under: uncultured eukaryote
Lineage: Eukaryota
Description: bacterial SSU rRNA
Rfam family: Eukaryotic small subunit ribosomal RNA
Source: RNAcentral